UAACACCUGGAAACAGAUGCUAAUACCGGAUAACAACAGAUGAUGCCUAUCAACUGUUUAAAAGUAUGGUUCUGCUAUCACUCUUGGAUGGACCUGCGGUGCAUUAGCUAGUUGGUAGGGUAACGGCCUACCAAGGCGAUGAUGCAUAGCCGAGUUGAGAGACUGAUCGGCCACAUUGGGACUGAGACACGGCCCAAACUCCUACGGGAGGCAGCAGAC
RNAcentral lists this ribosomal RNA (219 nucleotides) under uncultured Lactobacillus sp. RNAcentral's name for it is "partial 16S ribosomal RNA". It matches the Rfam family "Bacterial small subunit ribosomal RNA", at positions 144 to 354 of the family's 1533-position model. Lineage: Bacteria; Bacillati; Bacillota; Bacilli; Lactobacillales; Lactobacillaceae. The record is from RNAcentral.